CUGGUGGCGAGCGGCGGACGGGUGAGUAAUACCUAGGAAUCUGCCUGGUAGUGGGGGAUAACGUUCGGAAACGGACGCUAAUACCGCAUACGUCCUACGGGAGAAAGCAGGGGACCUUCGGGCCUUGCGCUAUCAGAUGAGCCUAGGUCGGAUUAGCUAGUUGGUGAGGUAAUGGCUCACCAAGGCUACGAUCCGUAACUGGUCUGAGAGGAUGAUCAGUCACACUGGAACUGAGACACGGUCCAGACUCCUACGGGAGGCAGCAGUGGGGAAUAUUGGACAAUGGGCGAAAGCCUGAUCCAGCCAUGCCGCGUGUGUGAAGAAGGUCUUCGGAUUGUAAAGCACUUUAAGUUGGGAGGAAGGGCCGUUACCUAAUACGUGAUGGUUUUGACGUUACCGACAGAAUAAGCACCGGCUAACUCUGUGCCAGCAGCCGCGGUAAUACAGAGGGUGCAAGCGUUAAUCGGAAUUACUGGGCGUAAAGCGCGCGUAGGUGGUUCGUUAAGUUGGAUGUGAAAUCCCCGGGCUCAACCUGGGAACUGCAUUCAAAACUGUCGAGCUAGAGUAUGGUAGAGGGUGGUGGAAUUUCCUGUGUAGCGGUGAAAUGCGUAGAUAUAGGAAGGAACACCAGUGGCGAAGGCGACCACCUGGACUGAUACUGACACUGAGGUGCGAAAGCGUGGGGAGCAAACAGGAUUAG
Molecule: ribosomal RNA, 700 nt
Filed under: Pseudomonas sp. DS-7PS-2
Lineage: Bacteria; Pseudomonadati; Pseudomonadota; Gammaproteobacteria; Pseudomonadales; Pseudomonadaceae
Description: bacterial SSU rRNA
Rfam family: Bacterial small subunit ribosomal RNA
Source: RNAcentral